This 2124-nucleotide long non-coding RNA is filed under the name Piliocolobus tephrosceles (Ugandan red Colobus). RNAcentral describes it as "lncRNA (ENSPTEG00000008636.1)". Lineage: Eukaryota; Metazoa; Chordata; Mammalia; Primates; Cercopithecidae. The record is from RNAcentral.
UCUGUUAUUAACUAAUGACACUAAAUACUAUGAUGAUUUGUAUGAUUAUAUAUUUAGUCUAUAUGAUAACGUUUUAUUCAUUUUAUUACUUUUAUCAAAUGAAAAUAAUACAUACCAUGAUAAUACAUACCAUGAUAACAUGUACAAAAAAGACAACAAUAAUAGUGUAAAUGAAAAUGUGAUUGCUAAGGGGUUAGUAGUAGAAUUAAAAAAAGACCUGAACAUAAAAAAUUCAUUAUAUAAUAAGGUAAUAGUUCUUAAUAAAUAUUUUUAUGUUAAUAAAUUUUUUUUAAGAUUAACUAUAAGUGAUGAUAUAUAUGAUUUACAUGAACUGCUUAAGAAAUAUUCAUCUGAAAAUAUAAAUAAAGAGAAUGAUUACCUGAUUUAUAAUAUUAUUGAAAACAAAACAGAUUUGGACAUAUUAAUAAGUAUAUUAAAUAGUAAAAAAAAAAUAAUAGGUUUUGCCUGGUUAAAAAAAAACAUAGAUCUUAAUAUUUUAGUUAACUUAUACAAUUUAAAGGAUUACAACUAUCUUAUGAAAAAAGAAUUUUUUUCAGAAAUAUCCAAGCAACUGAAAUCAUACAAAAGCAGUGACAAGAAUUUAAAAAAAAAAAAAAAGAAAUACAUGUUUGUUGAAUUUAAGCAAUAUAUUUUAAAAAACAUAAAAUUAGAAUCUCUAGAUUGUUUAGAAAAAAAAUACGAAAUUAAAGAAGAACUUAUUUAUGAAUUUCUGAGUGAACAUAUAAUUCACGAUGUGGACAUAUAUGCCGAUUAUUUUAUAAAACAAAAUAUAGAUAUAAAUAAGUUAAUAAAAAACAUUUAUAGUAAGCUAGAAUAUGAUUACGAACACUUUAAACGCGAUUCUGGAAGUAACAUACAUCUUGCUAGCUUAAACAAGUUAAUAAGUUUGUGUUCACAUAUAAGUUUUACAGAUGUAGCCAAAGUUUGCGAAAAGUUUCACAAACAUUUCGAAAAAAUCGAAAUGCUAUAUUUUAAUUUUAAUAAUGAUAAAACAUAUAAAAAAAUAUACGAAAACAUCAAAAAGCUAAGACACACAAAAAAAAAUGAUGAAUCAUUUAAAACAGGUAGUAAAAGAAUAAAUACCAUGAAAAUGAACCGAGUUAAUAGCAUUAAAAAAUCACAAAAAGAUUUUAAAGAUGUAAUAACUUUGUCUUACUACGAUAUUUUUUUGUUACUAGAAAACAUUUACCCUGAUACUUUUAAAAAGAAUGAGAUUAUACUAUUAUUUUUAUUUUUAGACUUGUAUGAUUUUAUUAGUAUAGAUGAACUUACACCUUUCGAUUGUAUUGCAUUUAAACAAUAUCUAGAUGAGUUAGUAAAUAUCAGAACUAUAUAUUUUAUAUGCAAAUAUAAACAUGUCGACUGGUUACGUAAUCUUAAUCAAAAUGAGAAAAAUGCAUUUUCUUUAAAUUUAUUUAUUUUAAAUGAUAAAUAUUAUAACAACUGCAAAGAAAUAUUAUUAAGAAUGGAAAAUAUAUUUUUUAACGAAGUUGAUUAUAUUAUUGCAACUAACAACGAACGGAUGAAUAUUCCAUUAAUAUUAAACUAUUUUAAUAGAGUUAAAAAAAAAAACAAAAAUAAUACAUUAGAAUCAUUAUAUAUACUAAAUAAAUAUACUCUUUUUUUAUUACCAUAUACUGAUUAUAUGAAACUAGGUGAUAUCGAUAAGGUAUUUCAUUUUUUAAAAAAUGUUAAUCACUCUGAAAAGAACAAAAUAAAUCAAAUUAUUGCAGGACUAAAGGAAUUUAUAAAAAAAAAAACAAUUGAAACCUUUCAACAACUAGAACAGCAACACUUAUGUUUAGGUUCGAAUAAUAUUUUUGCACGUGUAUUUUGACAUCGACACGUGUACACAUAUGAACAUAUAUACAUAUACAUGAGUCGUACAAAAAAACACACACAGGCAUAUAGACAUAUAGACAUAUAGUUACAUAGGCAAUAUGACCAUAUAAGGUAUACACACGUACAUAUUGAAUUAAUAACCCUACACAAUUAAAUUCCAAAAAAUUUCAUUCUGUUUUUUAUCAUUACCUUUUUUUAUCACUCCCUUUUUUUAUCACUACCUUUUUUUAUCAUUACCUUUUUUUAUCACUCCCUUUUUUU